Molecule: long non-coding RNA, 1732 nt
Organism: Equus caballus (horse)
Lineage: Eukaryota; Metazoa; Chordata; Mammalia; Perissodactyla; Equidae
Source: Ensembl
AUCUCCUUUUGAACUUUGCAACUGGGAAACAAAGAAAUCUUUAAGGAGUAAAAGGCUCCACCCCUGGGAGCCCCAACUUUGGGUUUCUGGGCCUGAUCACCCCAGCAACCCUAAGUGGGGGUGCCCUCUCUUGACGGUUGACUCAUUGAGUAUUUUAGUCACCUACUGAGUCAGUUAUGAGGGUAGGAGACCUGUGAUUUAUUCUGUGAACUGUCAUGCUAGGGUAGCGUGCUCCAGCACAGGAACUGUUGUGUGACUCUUAUCUUGAUAACCCUCUGGAAGAAGCCAUGAGGGUGAGGUCUGAUCUCUUCUUUUCCUUUCUUUGUCUGUUUUGCUCCUCAUCUCUUCUGUUGUCACCAAGUCGAGGUUAAGUUCAGGCUAGACCUGAGCAGAACCUUGACCUUCUGUAAAAUUGGAAAAAUAAGCCUUUUGCCAGGGAUUUGACUCUCAAACCUGGCUCUAGGAGCCCCAGUCUCCAGCCAGUUCCAGGCCUUUGCCUCCUGCUUCCCUACCUCAACUUUGCUGGCUCGGAGACAAAGUGCCCAGGCUGAGCGGGACUGGACUAAAUCUUAUAGCUGUGUCAACACCCACAAUCGGCCUCUGCACCCUUUCUCCAGCUGCUGUUAGUCAGACACUGGCUUUACCGCCACAGGAAAGGCCCCUGAGCAUCCCAGAGACCCACCCUGCAGAUGUAUUCUAACUCCAUCUGGGAGAAAACUUGAGGGGUUUCUCUGUGCCUUUGUGAUGCAGCUGGACAGGUAGAUCAACCUGGAAUGUAAUUUGAGUUACAAUCCAGUUUCUGGGAAAUCAAGAGCAACUGUCCUUAGAAAAUCCUUGCAAGACUGGAAAUACAGCUCUAGAGGCAGUUCGCACUCCACCUAGUUCCUUUAUCACGAAAAGGAUUAUCAUCUCCCCUCUCCAGGAACUACUAUCUAAGCCCAUCACUAAUUCCUAAGACUGAAAAAAAAAAAGGAAAAAAGAGGAGGGGAAAGGCAAAACGGCCAUAAGCGUGCCCUUGCCCAAAAAAUCUAGCAUCUUGAGUAUCUUCUCCACAAAUAUUGGUAAAAAACAAUAGCUGUGCAGUCUCUGUGUACGUGUGUCUGUGUGUACGUUAUAUGUGUGAUAUUUUACCUCCGGAUGGUAUUACCAAAAUCAAGAGCUCUGUUUAAUUGGCUUAAAGUAAGCGUUUACAUAAAUUCUAAAUGUAGUAGAAAUUAAUCCAAUGUCUUUCAAGUUAACGUGAUGUGAAUUAACCUUUGGUAAAUGGAAACUUAUUUAAGUUUGUUGGUUUGAUUGAGAACAGCCUUGUUGUCAGAGUUGUCGUAUUUUUGUUUGAUGGGUUAAGAAAGAUAAAUUUGUCCUAAUGUACUAGAAAGGAGAAAAGAAAGAAUUUGGGAGAAAUUCUGAAGGCAAAAAGAAAGUUGUAGAAGGUUUGUGAAGAGAAAUUCUGAAAGGAGUUUUAUGGCUGGCCAAGUAGACUAAGAUUAAAGUAAAUCCAAUUAAGUGAAUGAGUUUUAAUGUUAAAAAUAAGCUGGUACAGAAAUUAAAAUUUGGUUUUCUCUCAAAGGAUAAUUUUCUUGAACUUUUGGCCUGCUCUAACUCUACCUAAAAGACAAAUCUGUUUUGUUAAAAUAAUGACUGAGGUCACUCUUAAGAUUUUUGACUCUUUCUGUUAUCACUUUGAAUAGAUACCUGAGCAUUAUUUCACAGUGAGCGUUGUUUGAACAAGUGU